Molecule: non-coding RNA, 82 nt
Organism: Podarcis lilfordi (Lilford's wall lizard)
Lineage: Eukaryota; Metazoa; Chordata; Lepidosauria; Squamata; Lacertidae
Source: the annotation of a GenBank genome assembly
GUAAAUAGCUCAGCUGGUAGAGCGGAGGACUGUAGAAUGUUUGAAAUCGUCAUCCGUAGGUAGCUGGUUCAAUUCCGGCUCA